GAUGUGGUUUCCUGGCAACAGGGGAAGCAGGAAACUGGAGUGAAAGGGCCUGGCUGGAGCGACCACGUCCUCACCUGAGACCAGCUGCCUUCCUGUCACCGUCAGGAGUCUGGCAGUGC
Fukomys damarensis (Damara mole-rat) is the source of this 119-nucleotide long non-coding RNA. RefSeq lists it as uncharacterized. The record is from RefSeq and is a predicted model, not a curated record. NCBI's taxonomy places the organism in Eukaryota, Metazoa, Chordata, Mammalia, Rodentia, Bathyergidae. The transcript is spliced from 3 exons.